AACUGGCCGGGAACAAUAAAAAUUCUAUACUGGAACAUCCGAGGAUUGGGGAAUUCUCGAGCAUCUAAAAGUCUUCAAUAUAUGUUGAAGCUUUAUAAACCCCAAAUGGUCUUCUUAAUAGAAACAAAAUAGGACAGUAUUAGAUUGGAGCGAUUACGGAAACGAUGUGGCUUUCAAAAUGGAAUGGAUAUUUCAUCGAAUGGGUUACGUGGUGGAUUAAGCCUUACCUGGAAUGGUAAUAAUUUGGUUCAAGUUUAUAGUUAUUCGAACAAUCACAUUGAUGUGUCGAUUAAUGAAGGAAAUAUUCCGUAUAAGUGGCGGUUUAUUGGGUUUUAUGGUAACCCAAAUCAAUCAAACAAACAUGAGUCAUGGAAUCUACUUCGCAGAUUAAAGUCUAAUAGCUCCUUACCAUGGUGUGUUUGUGGAGAUUUUAACGAAAUUAUGUAUGCACAUGAGAAAAGAGGAGGAAGAACAAAAGAUGAGAGACAAAUGGAAGAAUUUCGAAAUGCUCUGGAAGAUUGUGGUCUGGCUGACAUGAGUUUCAAAGGGAAAAAGUUUACUUGGGAAAGGGGCAAUUUUGCAGACACAAAUAUCAGAGAACGACUUGAUAGGGGAGUUAUGAACCAAGAGCGGCUAAACCUGUUCCCUGAGUAUGAAGUCCAACACUUAACUCAUUCUUUCUCUGAUCACUGCCCAGUCCUCAUCCAGACGAUGUCAAAUGUAAAAAGCACUGGAGGUAAUAUUUUUAGAUUCGAAUCUUGGUGGGUCACUGAGCCAUCGUGUGAAGAAAUCAUCAAGGAAGCUUGACAGAAGCAAUCUGGUAACAUUUUGGAAAAUUUUGAAUAUACCUAAUUGAGCUUACAAAAAUGGGCAAAGGAAAUCAAAGGGAAUCAUGAAAGGAAAUCGAAGAUUCGAAGAGGAAGACUGGCCGAACUUGAUAAAAAGAAUAGAGAUGAUAUCCUUGCUGAGAUCAUUUGUAACACCCUUAACCUCGUCCCGUUACCGGAACAAGAUUAUAGAGUAUUACCAAUCAUUACAGUACAUUUGCACAUAAACAAGUAUAAAUGCAAUAUAUCCAUCUAAAUAUAAUUUUAAUGAGUCCACAGUACUUUACAAGUGUAAUUAAAACAAACCGAGAUUCGAUCCUAAAGCUUAGUAAAUUUUUCGUGAAAUUUUAAAAUUUCUUCUUUUGAACAGUACCAUACGCCUGUGUGACUAAUUUAACAUGUCCGUGCGGCAUGGGACACGCCCGUGUCCUCAACCCAUGUGCAACACUGACUUUUAAACACGGCUAUGACACACGUCCGUGUUGCUUGCCCGUGUACAAAACUGACUUUAAGACACGGCCGUGGCAACCAAGGCACACGCCCGUGUGACAAACUAUGUGAACUCAAAAUGAACCUUGUAUUUUAAAAAUUUACCAAUCCUGUAAAUUUCAAUCUAUAACCAAUACAGAUAUCAAUAUUAAACCAAUCCAAACGCAUUUUAUAUAUUAUCUAAUACUUAACUUUAAACACUUAUCAUGUAUCAUUAUCAAUUAUCAAUUUACUUAUUUCACUAUUACAAUCACAAUCCAAUAUAACACACUUAAGACAUCCUAGAUAUAUGCCAUUACCAAUAAUUAACAUGCUUUACCUUUUUGAGCUUCAGGAUCGACUUAUGAUGCUAAUUCGACGACCUGUCUUUAACCUAACCUGUGCACGAAAACAAACCGUACGCUGAGUAUGAAUUCAGUGAUAUUUCUAUAAACCGAUACUUAAGUCAAUAAUAAAUCAUAUAUCAAUGAACCUUGAGAAUUCAAUCUAUUACUCCUAAUAGUUCAAUCAUUUGUUUUUGAUAUAUAAUGCUAAGAUCAUGUUAAUCACUUUCGAUGAAAUGUAUACAGUUUCAAUGUUUAUUCAUUAUCCGUCGAUUUUUCAUAUUUAUUCAGUAAUAACCUGUGAUUAGUAUCAUUCAGACAUUCAGUAGCAGUCCAUUAUUCAGUAACAAUUAGUUUUUCAGUACUUUUAUUUACAAUUCAUUUGAGUAAUAAUAUUAUUCAGCUUUCAUUCAAUAUUCUGUACCAUCUCAUUUCAAUAACAGUCAAUAUUCAAUAGCAGACAGACUUUAAUACUUUUCAUUACCCCUAUUAACAUGACUCGGACCUAGACGGAUACACGGAUCCAACUCACACACCGAGGAUAGUAUACAGUGUUUCAUCAGCCGAAGCCAAAAUACACCGUAAGGGUAGCAAUAACAGUAACAGUAACAGUAGCGGUACACAAAGUACCUCAUCAGAACAAAUUUGGAACAGUAACAGUAACAGUCAAAUACGGAGUACCUCUUCGGAACGAAUCCGGAACAGUCAUAGUAGUCGACAUAUAUAGUGUCUCAUCGACACACAGUCAGAAUAUCCCUGAACACUUCCAAUCCUAUGACAUGCCAACUAUAUCCGACUAGCCUGAUACAAUUAAUAGGGUAUUCAAUAAACUUUCAAAUUUUCAAUUUUAUUUGUAAUUUAAUUUCAAUUCAAUUUAAUACAUUUUUCCAUAUCAAUCCACAUGCAAAUCAAUUUCAAUGCAAUAUACAUUUUUCAGUUUUCCACUCAAUAUUCACAUAUUCUAUUCAAUAUCAAUAAUCACUAAUAAUUCAUAAAUUUUUUAUUCAAUUCAAUAUCAUAAUAAUAAUACUUACCAUUCAUAUAAAUAAUAAAUUCAACAAAUAAUUAUUAGAUUUGGUUUAUAAAAAUACAAACCGUAGUUUUCAAGCUAACUCCUGUUGUCUUUGUCUUGUCCUUACUUAGUCGAGAUUUCCCGAGAUAACGUUAGCUACGAAAAUUAAAAUAAUUAUACCAUUAACUUUCAGCACUCAUUAUAACAAUUAAUUGAAUUUCUAUUCAAUUUACACCUUAUUUCCAAUUUAGGUCCUAACUAAUUCAUUCACUUUACUAACUUAAUUCAUUCUCCAUUUCUAUUCAAAUUCCAUCCAAACUCAAAUUUAAUUAUUAAAUUUUCACCUUAUCUCAUUAAUUUCGAAAUUUCCUCAAAUUAACCCCUACAACAUAAAACUUAUGAAUUACUUAACAAUUCAAUCCUUAUUUCAUUUCUAACUUGAAUUUCUAUCAAUUUAGCCCUUAAUUCAUCAUUUUAUUUAACAUAAACAAUAUUUAGAAAUCUAAUAAUUUUAAAAAUCUUAAUUUAAUUUCAUCAAAACUUUGUUCCAAAGCUUCUAAAACAUUAAAAUUAAGUAAAAAUGGCUAAAUUGACUUACCUAUUAAACUUCCAAGCUUCAAAAUCCCUAUUUUCCAUUUUUUCCUUUCUUUUUCUCCUUCCUUUCUUCUCUAUUUCUUUCUAUUCUUUUUCUUUUUCUUUUACUUUGUUCUAUUUUAUAUAUAAUAAUAAUAAUAAUAACUUACAUAAUAAGUAAAUAUACAUGUAUUUUACAAAUGUAGAUAUACUAAUAUUACACAUGUCACUAUACAUACCAUACAUUUGUCAACUUUUUAUUUAUUUUUCACAUAAAAAUCUUAUAAUAUAAUUAUUUAAUUAAUAAAUAUAUUUUAUAAAUAAUAAAUAUAUAUUAAUACUUAAAUACAAGCAUUACAAGUGUAUGUAUUUUUAUUAAUACACUUGUACCCAAUCAUUACCACACAUUUGUCUUACUUUUAUUUAUUUAUCAUAUAAUAUCAAUUUAAUAAUAAUAAAUACAUUAAUAUUUACUUAAAUAAUAAGCAAAUACAUACAUAUAUUACAAAUGUGUGUAUUAUAUUUAUUACACUUGUAGACACUUGGCACUCUUUUUGGCUUAUUUACUCAUUUAGUCCCUUCAAUUUUUUUAUUCUAUAAUUAAACUUUCACACUAUAUUCAAUUUAAUCCUUUUAUCCAAUUAUCCUUAAUUUAAGCUAAUUCACUUAAUUAAACUCUAAUUAAUCACUCAAUUAACUUCGUAAAUAUUUAUUACGAAUCCAUUUUUUAGAAACGGAGACCUGAAAAUAUACUUUUCCGGUAACGGUAAAAUUCAGGUCAUUACAUCAUUGAUGUGAAGAUAGAAUUAAAUUGGGAGAUGGAAAAGGAAGAGAUGUACUGGGAGCAGAGGGCGAGAUCGAAUUAGCUUAGCUAAGGGGACAGAAAUACGGCUUUCUUCCAUAGUCAAGCGUCCCAAAGAUGCAGAAUAAAUCGUAUCCGAGGGAUGGAGGAUAAAGAAGGUAUUCUCAAAACGGAAAGAAGAAGAUAUGGAAAUCAUAAUAAGGAGCUACUUUAUGAAGCUAUUCGAAUCUAAAGGAGUUGGUAAUACAAAUCACCUACUCUUAGGUUUUCGCUGCAGUAUUUCUGACAGUAUGGAUCAAAUGCUGGCUAAAGAUUAUAAAGAGGAGGAAAUUUUUGAAGCAAUAAAUAGUAUAGGGUCGACAAAAGCUUCUAGACUUGAUGGAUUUUCUGCAAUCUUCAUUGAAAAAUUUUGGCAUAUUAUAGGGAGGGAGGUAAGUGAUUUUUGCUUGGAAGUUCUUAAUAAAGGAAAAUCUCUUGAUCUUUUAAACCAUACGAAUAUCGUGCUAAUCCUAAAGAAUCCCACCCAAAAAGCCCAUCAGAAUUUAGACCAAUUAGCAUUUGCUCCGUCUUUUAUAAAAUAAUUUCAAAAUCUAUAGCAAACAGACUACAGAAAGUACUUGAUUUUUGCAUCGAUCCAGCUUAAAGCGCCUUUGUAUCGGGUGGAUUAAUUACAAAUAAUGUUCUUCUUGCAUAUGAAAUUCUACAAUCUAUGAAGAAUAAAAGGAUGGGGAAAAAAGGUCUGAUGGCUCUUAAGAUUGAUAUGAGCAAAGCCUAUGAUCGGGUGGAAUGGAAUUUCUUGGAACAAAUGAUGGCUAAAAUGGGAUUUUAUGAGUCUUGAAUUUAGCUUAUUAUGAGAUGCAUCAGUACGGUUUCGUAUUCAAUCAUUUUGAAUGGAAAGUCAGGGGAAGUGUUUCGUCCAGAGAGAGGCCUACAUCAAGGGGACCCUUUGAGUCCUUUUCUGUUCCUUAUAUACAGUGAGGGACUGUCUACAUUAUUAAGACUUGCAAGCGAGGAAGGAAUGCUGAAAGGAAUAAAGGCGAGUAGACGAGGCCCUCAGAUUACUCGCCUUCUUUUUGUAGAUGAUUGCGUGCUGUUUGGGGAAGCAAAUGAAAAAGGUGCAAAAACUUUUGGAAAGAUCUUAAAAGAGUACGAAGCCUGUUCGGGACAAUCCAUUAAUUAUGGAAAGUCAACAGUUUUCUUUAGCUCAAACACAACUGAAAUGAUUUGUUUAGCUAUCUCAAAUAAAUUGAGGGUGAAACGAACGAAUAACACAGAAAAAUAUCUGGGCUUGCCAAAUAUGGUGGGAAAGAGGAAAAGGUUAGCAUUCCAACACCUUAAAGAUCGAAUUAAAGCAAAAAUUAACUGUAGGAGUUCUCAAUUACUAUUGCAAGGGGAAAAGAAGUUUUCAUUAAAUCUGUGCUACAAGCAAUUCCAGCAUAUACAAUGGGAUGUUUUUUAUUACCGAAGUCAGUAUGCGUUGAUAUGGAACAAAUUAUAGCCAAGCAUUGGUGGUAAAAAGGGUUCGGGAGAAGGGGGAUACAUUGGUAGUCAUGGAAUAACUUAUGUGAAUUAAAUGAAUUCAGUGGUCUUGGUUAUUGUAAUUUUGCAAAUUUUAAUUUAGCCCUCUUCGCUAAGCAAGGAUGGCGAUUAAUUGAAAACCCCAAUUCUCUUUUAGCACAGAUGUUAAAGGCCAAAUAUUAUUUGAAUACUGAUUUUCUAAACUCAAAGCUAGGAAACUUACCUUCAUAUACUUGGAAAAUUAUAUGGGCUGCAAAAGGCCUUUUGCGGACUGGAUUAUGUUGGAGGGUGGGAAACGGCCGAAAUAUAAGUAUUGAAGAGGAUGUCUGGGCUCCGAAGGAUGAAAAUCUACAUAUUCAAAAAAUAGUAAGAAAUCAGAAUUUAUUGAAGGUAGCAGACCUAAUUGAUAGCAAUGCUAGAUCAUGGAAAACAGAGUUGAUUACAGAUACCUUUUCCGUAGAAGAUGCUCAGAGAAUACUCCAAAUCCCGCUUGCUCACUCCCGAUAGGACAACUUUAUGGCUUGGAGAGGCGAACCAACAGGCGAAUAUACAGUCCAAAGUGGGUACAGAUUACUCUUUCGAGGCAAUUCCAUCAAUAAUAAUAGAUACAAGCCAAAUGAAAACAGGAAAUGUUGCAAAAAAAUGUGGAAUAGUGACCUCCCCUCAAAAUUAAAAAUUAGAGCCUGGAGAGCCACUCUAAACUACCUUCCUACACUAUCAAAUCUACGCAUUAAAAGACUAGCUAAUGACGCCGUCUGCCCGAGAUGUCAGCAAGGUGUGGAGAAUAUGGAUCACGUCUUUCGAGAAUGCGCUACUUCAAGGGAAACAUGGAAUAGCUUAAAAUAUGACUGGCCUGAAAGAAUAGCAAAUCUGAAAUUUAUGGAAUGGUUUACUUGGAUCAUGCUAAGCAGCAGUACUGAUAUCUGUCGAUCAUUUCUAUGCACCAUUUGGGUUAUCUAGUCGGCUAGAAACAAAUGGAUUCACGAGGGUAAGAAAAUGUCAGGGACAGAGACGGCAAGAUUCAGCUUACAGUACUUACAAGAACUAAAUAACAUUAAAUGGGAAAAACUUGCCUUUAGCCCGAUAAGUGCAGAAUGGAGGCCUCCGAUUCAAGGUAUCUACAAAAUCAAUUUCGAUGCAGCAGUGGACCUUAAAACACAAAGGUCAUGUUCGGGACUCAUAGUCAGAGACUGGAAAGGGAAAAUCCUAGCCACAAAAACCAUAAAUCAUGAGAAUAUACCUUCGAGGUUUGCAGCCGAGUCUGUUGCAUGUUUACAGGCAGUUAUCUUAGGAAGGGAUCUAGGAUUAAAGUUUGUUGACAUUGAAGGGGAUUUUUUGACAGUGAUAAAAAAAGCUCAAACUAAGAGCAUAGACAAGUCGGUAAUCGGCGUAGACAUUCAAGACAUUCAAGAAAUGUGCAAGAUUUUCUAUGAAAGUAAGUUCAUUUAUGUACGAAGAAAAGCAAACGAACAAGCGCAUGAUCCGGUAUCAAAAGGCUUAAAAAUGGUAGAAAAGACUUACAUUAUUCACAGACCAGUUGCUGAGGGCGUCACAGAGGUAGAAAUUGAUCGAGGAUGGGGGUGAAGAAUUCCAACAGGUGGAUGAUUUAGAGAAGGAACCCUAAUGAAUACCAGUCUUUUGUCCUUCUCCAAGAGCUGUAAAUGAAAAUGAAGAUAUUUUAAGAAGAUUUUUAGGAAAUAACAGCUCAUUAAUGUUGGGUUGUCUUUUCAUGUCUUUUAUUAUUUUUGUUUUGCAAAGAGUGGCAGGCCCUUCG
Molecule: long non-coding RNA, 7318 nt
Filed under: Gossypium barbadense (sea-island cotton)
Lineage: Eukaryota; Viridiplantae; Streptophyta; Magnoliopsida; Malvales; Malvaceae
Description: long non-coding RNA (GBAR_LNC005035)
Source: RNAcentral